This is a long non-coding RNA of Nyctereutes procyonoides (raccoon dog), 877 nucleotides long. RefSeq lists it as uncharacterized. NCBI's taxonomy places the organism in Eukaryota, Metazoa, Chordata, Mammalia, Carnivora, Canidae. The transcript has 3 exons. The record is from RefSeq and is a predicted model, not a curated record.
UGGACAGAGGGACGGAGGGACGCGCAUCCAGCCGGUCGCGUCCAGCUGCCUGCAGCAGUCUCCGACACUCGCUGCUGCCUGCCCGCUGUCCGCCUGCCUGGCAUCUCUCGAUCCCGGCAAAACUGUGCAACAAGGAAGGGACUUCCUCAGGAGGAAAUGUGCUCCCUGUCAGCAGGAGCCAAGUGGAGGCUGGUGGCCUUGGAACCCCACCCCACCAGCCCCUAGCGCCAGAAGAAGCCGUAAGAGCUGCUGCCCACUCCAUGAGAGGCCCAGGGACUUGGGAGGAGACCUAGGUAGAUCACAGCAGCAGCCCCAGCCUCCCUGUCUGCAAUCACAGGAGCCAGUGCACUGAGGAGGUGCUCAGGUGCCUCCUCCAUCUCACUCUGUCCCUGUGUCUAUAGGGACAUAAAACAGACCACCUGCGUGGUGCCAGCAGUGUGCAUUCACCUGUAACCACUGAGCUGGGCCUGGGGCCUUAGGGCCACAGCAAGAUGGAUGGGUUGGGGAUGGAUGGAUGGAUGGAUGGAUGGAUGGAUGGAUGGAUAGAUGGGUGGAUGGGAAGCUGGGGGGAACAAAGAGAGAGAGUGAAGAUUUAUUCACAGUUGACUACAUCCCUGGGCCUGCCCUCAAGGAGCCACAGUCCAGGAGGAGAGGUAAAUCACUGAAGAGCCAGUGUGCUGCAAGACAGGGCUCCUGGGAGCUCACCCCUAGCUGGGAGGUUGAGGAAGGGAGGCUUCUUGGAGCAGGUGAUGACUGAGGAUGGAACCUGAAAAGACGAGGAUAAGUCAACUAGGCAAAGAAAUUGAGACAGAAGGUGGGCAAGGAGCUGGCAUGGGAGUGGGCCUGGGGCUGGGGAGGAGAAGUGAAUGGUGUGGGA